CAGCAGUGGGGAAUAUUGCACAAUGGGCGCAAGCCUGAUGCAGCCAUGCCGCGUGUAUGAAGAAGGCCUUCGGGUUGUAAAGUACUUUCAGCAGUGAGGAAGGUGGGUAUGUUAAUAGCAUACUCAUUUGACGUUAGCUGCAGAAGAAGCACCGGCUAACUCCGUGCCAGCAGCCGCGGUAAUACGGAGGGUGCGAGCGUUAAUCGGAAUUACUGGGCGUAAAGCGCAUGCAGGUGGUUUGUUAAGUCAGAUGUGAAAGCCCGGGGCUCAACCUCGGAAUUGCAUUUGAAACUGGCAAACUAGAGUACUGUAGAGGGGGUAGAAUUUCAGGUGUAGCGGUGAAAUGCGUAGAGAUCUGAAGGAAUACCGGUGGCGAAGGCGGCCCCCUGGACAGAUACUGACACUCAGAUGCGAAAGCGUGGGGAGCAAACAGGAUUAGAUACCCUUAUAG
Molecule: ribosomal RNA, 451 nt
Filed under: uncultured bacterium
Lineage: Bacteria
Description: bacterial SSU rRNA
Rfam family: Bacterial small subunit ribosomal RNA
Source: RNAcentral